CAGACUGAUCUUUCCCAAGAGCUCACAUCGAUGGGAAGGUUUGACACCUCGAUGUCGGCUCUUCGCCACCUGGGGCUGUAUCCAUUAAAGCGGUACGUGAGCUGAGUUCAGAACGUUGUAAGACAGUUC
RNAcentral lists this non-coding RNA (129 nucleotides) under Solanum tuberosum (potato). Its description in RNAcentral is "Bacterial large subunit ribosomal RNA". It matches the Rfam family "Bacterial large subunit ribosomal RNA", at positions 2478 to 2632 of the family's 2925-position model. Lineage: Eukaryota; Viridiplantae; Streptophyta; Magnoliopsida; Solanales; Solanaceae. The record is from Rfam by way of RNAcentral.